Scatophagus argus is the source of this 859-nucleotide long non-coding RNA. RefSeq lists it as uncharacterized. NCBI's taxonomy places the organism in Eukaryota, Metazoa, Chordata, Actinopteri, Scatophagidae. The record is from RefSeq and is a predicted model, not a curated record. The transcript has 2 exons.
CCGGAAGGCUACUUUUACUGUAGUAAAUGAACUGAACAAGCAUUCCAGCACUACACACCGCAAACCUGGCAACCCGUUACAUGAAGCUAAGCAGUACCACUCUGUCGUCUCUCCUCUUUCCAGACCUUUCCAUCCUCCACGUCUGCAUUCGGCCAUACUCACGACUACACAUAGUAGUAAGUGAUGAUUCAAUCCAAAACUUUCUUGGUUUUUUGCCGCUUUAGACUCCUUUCCAUGCCUUCACCAGGUAUCGACAAUAUUUACUCAGACUGCUGUGUUAUUUCGAGCGACUGUAAAGUAACGGCUGUGAAUUUCCUCACAUGAACAGUCUCGCGUUACAAGGUCAGCGGUGCUGUGAGCGCAGGUUCAAAUGCAUUCAGAGGUUUGUGAGACCGCUCGCUCACGUGAACAGUUUGUCGGUUUGUUGCGCGUUAGCCGCGUAAACAAAGAGCCUUCAGUAAAGUUCAGUGACUGGCUUACUGUGUCAUGUCCAGGUAUGAGGCUACAGGAUCCAGUGUGAGUGAGACUGGCCACAAGAUGGCGCCCAGCAGCAGGAAGACGAGAGUCAAGUCUUGGUCACUGAUGCACUUGAGUGAAUCAGUUUGUGUCAGCUACUGUAAUAAACUUAAAAGUUCUGUUCAUUGCUGAAAAUUAGUGUAAUGUUUGUGUGUGUUGUAGAAAGGAAUUGAAUGCCCUGAGUGAGUGAAUUUUCUAUAAUCUGAUUUUGUUGUGACAUUUCACCAGAUCUACAGCAAAAGUAUUUGUUUUAUAUACUUUAUCUUUUGUCCUCAGUGAAGAAAUGACAUCAGAAUUUGCUGUACGUUGAACACAUUGAUUGAAUAAAGUCACUUUUUUAUCA